RNAcentral lists this ribosomal RNA (1716 nucleotides) under Triticum aestivum (bread wheat). Its description in RNAcentral is "partial small subunit ribosomal RNA". Lineage: Eukaryota; Viridiplantae; Streptophyta; Magnoliopsida; Poales; Poaceae. The record is from RNAcentral.
AUGAUAGUGAAGGGUUGUGAAGGUAAACGUGGUGGUCUUGCUCUCAUGUGGAAGAGGCAUGUCAACGCAGAACUCCACAACUACUCAAGAUAUCACAUAGACAUGGAGAUAGUGGAGCAAGACGGAUACAAAUGGCAGUUUACUGGCGUAUAUGGUGAACCCUCCUCAGAUAAAAAGGAUAAUACUUGGAAAUUACUAAAAAUUCUAAACCAACAACUCAAUCUUCCAUGGUUGUGUGCAGGAGAUUUUAUUGAAGUGUUGUAUGGCCAUGAGAAAAAAGGAGGUCCAGGUCGUAGCCAAAGAUCAAUGGAGAAGUUUAGAAUGGCAUUAUUAGAAUGUGUAUUACGUGACCUUGGUUACUCUGGUGACAAGUAUACAUGGAGAAAUAAUAGCCAUGAAGCCAGAUUUUACAUUAAAGAAAGAUUGGAUCAGGCUGUCGCAACUAGGGAGUGGUGUGCACGUUUUCCUUCAUAUCAGGUCACAAACGGUGACCCGAGGCAUUCAGACCAUAGACCGGUCACCAUUUCAGUUGAAGGAACCAAGAGGCAAUCCAGAAGGAUUGGAAAUGGGAACACAUUCAGAUUUGAGGCGAAAUGGUUGGAAGAAGAAGAAUGUGAAGAUCUUGUCACCAAUGCCUGGAACACUGCAAAUAUUAGAAGCGGUGGAAGUGUGGCUCAAGGCAUCAAAAGUGUUUCCAGGGACCUAAAAGCCUGGGAUGCAAAUGUACUAGGAGACCUUCAAUGGAGAAUAAAGAAGUUAAAAGAUGAGCUAGAAAUGGUCAGAAGAAGUGAAAUAAAUCAAGACAAAGUCGAUCCGGAACAUGUACUGAAGGAUAAGCUGGAUCGACUAGAGAAGCAACACAACCUUUUCUGGAGGCAAAGAGCCCAUGUUAAAUGGCUGCAAUUUGGAGAUAAAAAUACGGCUUUCUUCCAUGCAUGUGCAUCUGAGAAGAAAAAACGUAAUACCAUCCAAAAGUUGAAGAAAGAAGAUGGGACUUGGGUAGAAGAGGCAGAGCAACUAAAUGAAUAUAUUUCAAAUUAUUACCUUAAUAUAUUUACCUCGGCGGCAAGGCACGACAAUAACACAAUUCUGCAAUCAAUUCAACCUAGAGUAACUGAUCAAAUGAACGAGUUGCUUUGUGCAAAAUAUACUGAAGAAGAGGUGAGAGCUGCCCUAAAUAAUAUUGGUGAUCUAAAGGCCCCGGGACCUAAUGGCAUGCCUACAAUCUUUUUUAAGAGAUUCUGGAACACUGUAGGGGAACAAGUAACAAAGGAAGUGCUUAAGGUGUUGAGAGGUGGGGAGAUGCCUGAAGAAUGGAAUAAUACCAUAAUAGUUUUGAUCCCAAAAAUGCCUAAACCAGCGAGACUGAAUGACUUACGGCCCAUUAGCCUCUGCAACGUGGUCUACAAAUUAAUAGCCAAGAGGAAGAAGAGCGGAAGAGGAGGAUAUGCUGCCAUCAAACUCAACAUGAGCAAGGCUUAUGAUAGAGUUGAAUGGAAAUUCCUACAAGAAAUCAUGCUGAAAUUGGGUUUCAAUAGAAGAUGGGUGCAACUGGUGAUGAACUACGUCACCACGGUGAAAUACCAAAUCAAAAUCAAUGGGGACGUCACGGAGAUAAUUAUUCCCGAGCGAGGGCUUUGCCAAGAUGACUCACUUCUCCUCCUGGAAGCAAAUGCCAACAGUGCUCAUGAGCUGAAUCAAAUCCUGAAUGUUUAA